RNAcentral lists this ribosomal RNA (253 nucleotides) under uncultured bacterium. Its description in RNAcentral is "partial 16S ribosomal RNA". It matches the Rfam family "Bacterial small subunit ribosomal RNA", at positions 524 to 776 of the family's 1533-position model. The record is from RNAcentral.
UACGGGGGGGGCAAGCGUUGUUCGGAAUUACUGGGCGUAAAGGGCGCGUAGGCGGUUGGAUAAGUCAGCUGUGAAAACCACGGGCUUAACUCGUGGCCUGCAGUUGAGACUGUCUGGCUUGAGUGUGGGAGAGGAGAGUGGAAUUCCUGGUGUAGCGGUGAAAUGCGUAGAUAUCGGGAGGAACACCAGUGGCGAAGGCGGCUUCCUGGCCUGUUCUUGACGCUGAGGCGCGAAAGCUAGGGGAGCAAACGGG